This 312-nucleotide unclassified non-coding RNA is filed under the name uncultured Agaricomycetes. Its description in RNAcentral is "sequence contains ITS2". The record is from RNAcentral. Lineage: Eukaryota; Fungi; Basidiomycota; Agaricomycetes.
AACGCACAUUGCACCUUCUGGUAAUACAGAGGGUAUGCCUGUUUGAGUGUCAUUAAUCUAUCAACACAAGUAAUUUAUUUUACCUGUGCUUGGAUUUUGAGGGUUUGCUGGCAUUGGUUUCAGCUCCUUUCAAAUACAUUAGCAGAUCUCAGUAUAAUCGGCUUUCAGCUUGGUAAUUAGAUUUAUCUGUGCUGUUGCUGAGGAAUUUUAAUAUCAGCUUUCAAAUUGUCCUUUAAUCUAGGACUGUCUCAAUUAAGAGGCAUAUAUUUGACCUUUGACCUCAAAUCAGGUAGGACUACCCGCUGAACUUAA